UGCCAGACUCCUACGGGAGGCAGCAGUGGGGAAUAUUGCACAAUGGGGGAAACCCUGAUGCAGCGACGCCGCGUGAGUGAAGAAGUAUUUCGGUAUGUAAAGCUCUAUCAGCAGGGAAGAAGUUGACGGUACCUGAGUAAGAAGCCCCGGCUAACUACGUGCCAGCAGCCGCGGUAAUACGUAGGGGGCAAGCGUUAUCCGGAUUUACUGGGUGUAAAGGGAGCGUAGACGGCAGUGCAAGUCUGAAGUGAAAGCCCCGGGCUUAACCCGGGAAUUGCUUUGGAAACUGUACGGCUGGAGUGCUGGAGGGGUAAGCGGAAUUCCUAGUGUAGCGGUGAAAUGCGUAGAUAUUAGGAGGAACACCAGUGGCGAAGGCGGCUUACUGGACAGUAACUGACGUUGAGGCUCGAAAGCGUGGGGAGCAAACAGGAUUAGAUACCCCAGUAU
Molecule: ribosomal RNA, 447 nt
Filed under: uncultured bacterium
Lineage: Bacteria
Description: bacterial SSU rRNA
Rfam family: Bacterial small subunit ribosomal RNA
Source: RNAcentral